Molecule: long non-coding RNA, 763 nt
Filed under: Callithrix jacchus (white-tufted-ear marmoset)
Lineage: Eukaryota; Metazoa; Chordata; Mammalia; Primates; Cebidae
Description: lncRNA (ENSCJAG00000073533.1)
Source: RNAcentral
GGAAGCUGGGGACAAACGGAGAAAGAAGAACCAGGGAGGCUUAGAAUCACUGGCCAGAGAGGGCAUUUGGUGACUCUGACAUGGGUCCAUCCUGUUUGGCCACUUUCUUGCCAAGUAUUGCCAUGUAGUAGGCCCUUGGUGACUUCUGUUUUCACCAGCAGCUACGUUCCCUCCUUUCUGUUCUAACCUAAAGACCACAGGCAGACAUCCUGGGCCACAAGAGGGUCCCAGACGGCCCUUCCCAUGGGCUCAAGCUUGAUGACUUGAGUGAAGUUCAGCACCCUUGUGACUACUGGGCACUGGUGACCAGGAGGAGCUGGAUUACUCAUCUGCGUGCCUGCUGGGCAGACACAGGAAGAAAAUACAUAGUCCCAGGGUCAUCCUGCAGAUGAAAACAGGUGAGGACACACCUUUUGUUCCCUCCAGAGGAUGCAGCAACAAGGAGAGACCAGGACCCUCAGCAGACACUGAGCUCGACAGGGCCUUGAUCUUGGACUUGAGAUGGAGUUUCACUCAUCGCCCAGACUGGAACGCAAUGGUGCCAUCUCAGCUCACUGCAACCUCUGCCUCGCGGUUCAAUCAAUUCUCCUGCCUCAGCCUCCUGAGUAGCUGGGAUUACAGGCACUCACCACCAUUCCUGGCUAAUUUUUGUAUUUUUAGUAGAUAUGGUGUUUCGCCAAGUUGGCCAGGCUGGUCUCAGGUGUUUUGCCGAGUUAGCCAGGCUGGUCUCAAACUUCUGACCUCAAGUGAUCUGCCCUCCUAG